RNAcentral lists this ribosomal RNA (506 nucleotides) under uncultured bacterium. RNAcentral describes it as "bacterial SSU rRNA". It matches the Rfam family "Bacterial small subunit ribosomal RNA", at positions 9 to 526 of the family's 1533-position model. The record is from RNAcentral.
GAGUUUGAUCCUGGCUCAGGACGAACGCUGGCGGCGCGCCUAACACAUGCAAGUCGAACGGAGCUUAGAGAGCUUGCUUUUUAAGCUUAGUGGCGAACGGGUGAGUAACGCGUGAGUAACCUGCCCUAGAGUGGGGGACAACAGUUGGAAACGACUGCUAAUACCGCAUAAGCCCACGGAACCGCAUCGGAUACUGAGGGAAAAGGAUUUAUUCGCUUUAGGAUGGACUCGCGUCCAAUUAGCUAGUUGGUGAGGUAACGGCCCACCAAGGCGACGAUUGGUAGCCGGACUGAGAGGUUGAACGGCCACAUUGGGACUGAGACACGGCCCAGACUCCUACGGGAGGCAGCAGUGGGGGAUAUUGCACAAUGGGGGAAACCCUGAUGCAGCGACGCCGCGUGGAGGAAGAAGGUUUUCGGAUUGUAAACUCCUGUCGUUAGGGACGAUAAUGACGGUACCUAACAAGAAAGCACCGGCUAACUACGUGCCAGCAGCCGCGGUAAUAC